CCCUUAGAUGUUCUGGGCUGCACGCGCGCUACACUGACGCACGCAACAGGUGCCUGCUCCGAGAGGACUGGGUAAUCAUUUGAGUGUGCGUCGUGAUGGGGAUAGAAUAUUGUAAUUAUUACUCUUCAACGAGGAAUUCCUAGUAAGCGCCAGUCAGCAGCUUGCGCUGAUUACGUCCCUGCCCUUUGUACACACCGCCCGUCGCUCCUACCGAUGGGUGAUCCGGUGAAUGAUUCGGACCUCAGCGGCUCCCCUGGGGUGCGCCGGAGAAAGUUUUGUGAACCUUAUCACUUGGAGGAAGGAGAAGUCGUAACA
This 315-nucleotide ribosomal RNA is filed under the name uncultured eukaryote. RNAcentral describes it as "partial 18S ribosomal RNA". It matches the Rfam family "Eukaryotic small subunit ribosomal RNA", at positions 1470 to 1796 of the family's 1831-position model. The record is from RNAcentral.